GAGCGCCUGGGGCGGGAAUCACCGGGCUGCCGGCCUCACCCCCUCUUGAGCCGGGUGGCCGUCGGGGCAGCCUGAGGAGACCAGGCUGCCCGUCCCUAGCGCUGCUUGGGGCCGGGCGGGGAGGGUUGUGUUGUGGCGCACAGUUGCUGUGGCCCGCCGGAGAGGGACUCUCAGGUCGCUGGUUUCCCAGGCGCUAGAAGGGACGAAGAGGUGCCUGGUGUUUUCUCUCCAAGGAGAGAAGCCUGGAGCAGAGAGGCCCCUUUACCGUGACAUCACCGGCAAACUCAAAGAGAUGUCCCGGUUUUCUGAUCACUUCAAAAACACUUGAACCAGGAGGGACAAGAGCGUGGCUGCAGAAGAGGUCUGGACUGAGAGGUGACUUGGGUGGAGGACUUGGCCACAGUAACAGCAAACCAUUGAGGAACCAGGAACAAUAAGGAGGGCUGGAGUGGAAGAGUCACUGCAACCUGACAUAAGGUGUACCCUGGGGAGACUGCUAUGGUUGGAAUGAAGGGUUCUCUACCCAUCAGUAUGACUGUGACUCCCACUAUAUUAGGGGAGGGAUGCAAGGCCCAAAAUUCAGACCCAGAAUCAUCUCUUCUGCAGACUAUACUUUAUCUCUUGUGGUGUUUUCCCUUAGCCUAAAGAGGAGUCAGGAAGUCCUUGUGUUCCUUGAGAAGCAAUCAGAAUCUGACAGGGACAAGAACCUGAGUUACUGUGUCCGGUGGCCCCAUCGUUGCUUUGUGGCUCCCUGCAAUUGCAUGGGUUGCAGCUGCCUAAUACCACUGCUGCUUAUGGAAGAAGACUGAAAGAGCUUGGCUUGGUUAGCCUAGCAAAACGAAGGGUGCCCAAAGGAGAGCUGAGCUCAUCGGAGGAUAAGAUUUCAGUUGUGGGUGCUGUGCAUUGGAAAAUCAAUAAUGAAGAGCCCGUAAUGAUCCAAGUCAACAUCCCCUACCUGUUGCUAUGCUGUAUUUGCAACCACUUCUCAAGCCCAUGGGAGAUGCACCUGCACAGCAGCCACAGAACUGAGGACUAUCUAAUUGCAAUCAAGAGAUUCAUUCCCACAGCAGGGAGAGCGUAAGAAAAGGCAGAAUGGUACCCUCCAGAUGACAGCCUGAUCAGUUAAUUUCAACCUCAACUUAAAACGCAUCGUUUCAUGUGUGAUUCCUCACAAUCCUCAGUCCAUCAUUUGCAGAGCCCUGAAGAGAGCAAGAGAGCAUGUGCCCUCAGCCCCAACCACUCCCAGUAGACCAAAUGCAUUAUCCUCUCCAGUGCCCCAUCUGAACCGCGGCUAGGAAAAAAAAGCACCAGAAUCAGUUAACUUCCCUCCCCCCCCUUAAUAAAACAUAAAAGCAGCAACAAAAGAAGGCUGCAGAGAGCAGCAGGAAGAUCACUGAGAACAGAAAGCAGCUGAACUUAACACACACAAAUGGAGGUUUGUUCUCAUUCCUGCCAUGCAGUUUUCUGUAACGUUGAGAUGGAAGAUAAAUGGUUUGGCUGCAUCAGCCAUUUGGAAUUGGACAACUAAUGCUCUGCGAUCACUUGGAUUUUUUUCUUUUUAAAAAUAGCCAAUUUUGAAUUAUAAUUAUUAAAAGCAAACAGUAUUAACCUGCCUGUCAUGCAAACAGAUAAAACGCAGCGCACGCGCUGUAUGGAGAAGGAUUAAUAAGAGUGACAGCGAAAUGGAAUCACACUGAUCUAAAGGAUGCACCUACGAAUACACGCUACAAAUGAAUGGGGAAAUGAAACCCGAGCCCAGCUGGCACGGGGCGAAGAGGUAGAGCUUGACAAAUCUCUCACUGGCAGGGGAGUGGGCUAGAUGACUGACUCGAGCUUUUCUGGCUCUCACUGUGUUCUGUUAGUCUAGGCACAGAUUCUGCCCCACUAGGUCCCUCCACAGUGAUGGGUGCAAUAGAGGAACUGGAGCAGAACCGAUUUGACUGCCAUUUACUGAGAUCUGUGGUGGACCCGUGUGGAGGGGGAAAGGGACAAAAAGGGAUGUUCCUUUAUCCACCCUCCCAAACAUCUGUUUCCCCCGGCCCCACUCCUGCAGGGGGCACCAUGCACCAUGCCAUGGGAAACAGCACGCU
Molecule: long non-coding RNA, 2090 nt
Organism: Mauremys reevesii (Reeves's turtle)
Lineage: Eukaryota; Metazoa; Chordata; Testudines; Geoemydidae
Exons: 7
Source: RefSeq, a predicted model, not a curated record